Molecule: transfer RNA, 83 nt
Filed under: Cyanobacteria bacterium FACHB-63
Lineage: Bacteria; Bacillati; Cyanobacteriota
Description: tRNA-Leu
Rfam family: tRNA
About the family: Transfer RNA (tRNA) molecules are approximately 80 nucleotides in length.
Source: RNAcentral
GGGGGCGUGGCGGAAUGGUAGACGCAACGGACUUAAAAUCCGUUGACCGCAAGGUCGUAAGGGUUCAAGUCCCUUCGCCCCCA